UGCAGUCUAGCACUAAUGGCGAGUAUCAAGGUCGUAUUCCUCGGGAAACUGAAAGCCCAGAGUUACGUCUUUGUUCUUUGUUAUAUUAACCUAAGAUGAAAGAUGAAUAAUUUCUAAACUAACUAAUAGCUACAAGCUAAGUUCUAAGGGAGAUGCAGGAAUGAAUGGAUAAAUGAAAUAACCAAGACAUGAAAGCAAACCCAAAGG
RNAcentral lists this long non-coding RNA (207 nucleotides) under Ricinus communis (castor bean). RNAcentral's name for it is "long non-coding RNA (RCOM_LNC001166)". The record is from RNAcentral. Lineage: Eukaryota; Viridiplantae; Streptophyta; Magnoliopsida; Malpighiales; Euphorbiaceae.